GACCUGAGAUAACUAAAUUGGUAUCAUGUAUGUCUGUGGCCUUAACUUCAGUUGUCACUGGCUCCAACAUGAACUCCCUGGUUUUUCACCACUGGAUACGGUGGUUAAAUUAUAGUGGCAAUCAGUCCAAGGAGCUAGAAAAUAAUGGAAAAUAAGAAAGCUGAUGAGGACUUAAAGUAUAUUCCCAUACUUUCUUGAUAGCAAUAAAGAAGUGUACAAGGGAUUGAAACACAUCAGAGAUCUUCUCACCGUCUUGCACGAUCAGUUUCCUCAGGGUCUUGGAGGUAGAACCAUCUGCUAAGUAGUCCAUUCCCACAUCAGAUAUUCUUGUACACUUGAGCAGCUCCAAAUUGUUGAGGGAAGAUGCAGACCCGAUUGCUUCAAGCGCUGCAAAUGCUGCAGGCAAUCAGGCUAAUAUCUUAAAAUCUCCUUCUGCACAUAUAUUUUAGCGAAAGAAGAUCCUAACAGAUUAAUUUUGAUGACUGGAUAUCAAAAUGGUGUGAGGUAAGUCAUUUUGUUAGAACUAUAGACUGUUAAUUCUAUUUGUUGUAAAAGUAUGCUUCCAUUUUGAUAUCCAGUCAUCGUUAGAACUAUAGACUGUUACUUUAUUUGUUGAAAAA
Long non-coding RNA from Rosa chinensis, 620 nucleotides. RefSeq lists it as uncharacterized. The record is from RefSeq and is a predicted model, not a curated record. The transcript is spliced from 2 exons. NCBI's taxonomy places the organism in Eukaryota, Viridiplantae, Streptophyta, Magnoliopsida, Rosales, Rosaceae.